RNAcentral lists this long non-coding RNA (8469 nucleotides) under Triticum aestivum (bread wheat). RNAcentral's name for it is "long non-coding RNA (TAES_LNC017238)". The record is from RNAcentral. Lineage: Eukaryota; Viridiplantae; Streptophyta; Magnoliopsida; Poales; Poaceae.
UGUCGGUGUCAAAACCGGCGGAUCUCGGGUAGGGGGUCCCGAACUGUGCGUCUAGGCGGAUGGUAACAGGAGACGAGGGACACAAUGUUUUUACCCAGGUUCAGGCCCUCUCGAUGGAGGUAAUACCCUACGUCCUGCUUGAUUAAUAUUGAUGAUACGGGUAGUACAAGAGUAGAUCUACCACGAGAUCAAUGAGGCUAAACCCUAGAAGCUAGCCUAUGGUAUGAUUGUUGAGAUGUAAUGUUGUGUCCUACGGACUACGGCCCUCCGGUUUAUAUAGACACCGGAGAGGCUAGGGUUACACAGAGUCGGUUACAAUGGUAGGAGAUCUACAUAUCCGUAUUGCCAAGCUUGCCUUCCACGCCAAGUAAAGUACCUUCCGGACACGACCCGGAGUCUUCAAUCUUCUAUCUUCGUAGUCUGGGAGUCCGGCGGAUAUUGACAGUCCGGCUGUCCGGACACCCCCUAGUCCAGGACUCCCUCAGUAGCCCCUGAACCAGUCUUCAAUCACGAUAAGUCCGGCGUGCAUAAUGUUCGACAUUGCAAGGCGGGUUCCUCCCUUGAAUAAUCCAGAGAAGAUAAUGAACACCAGGAUAGUGUCCGGCUCUGCAAAAUAAUUUCCACACUCCAACGUAGAGAGAAUAAAACACAUACACCGAUCCAAUCUGCUGACGUAUUAUGCGGCAUGACAUCCCACCGCAGCCAAGCCUUCGUUUUAAUUGUUUUUACUAUUCCACCUCAGCACGUUUAGCGAAGCGGCUUCCUUGGCACGUCCUGUCGAAGCAGAGAUCGUGUUCCCCUCUUUCCGGGAUUCUCAUCAAUACGUGCGUGGGUAACCCAACCGUUCCCGUCGCCACGCCUCCUCUAUCGAAGGGGAAUCUCAAACGGUCACGGAGACGGCCCUUGGUAUUAUUUCCCCUUUAUAAGAGGACCAAGGCAUGUCCUUGUCUCUUAACCUCGCAUCGAAUCUUUCCUCUGCUCCCAAUUCCAACAAUAAGAGCUUCAGACUCGAGCGCUUCGGAUCCACAGCAAUGUCCGGCUCCGACCUCCAGGGCCGGUGGGUGCCCUCCUCCGUCACAGAGGAGGACAUAUUGAAGUUGCGUGAGGCCAAGUACCUGGCCUACGAAGUCUCGCACAGGUUGCCUGCCCCUGGGCAGGCCGUGCCAGCCCCCGAGCCCGGCGAAUGUGUCAUUUUCGCAUCCCACCUCCGUCGGGGAUUAGGCUUCCCGACGGAUCCUUUCAUGAGGGGGCUUCUGUUCUUCUACGGGCUGGACUUCCACGACUUGGCUCCGGAGUCCAUCCUCCAUAUCUCCGCAUUCAUUAUUGUCUGUGAAGCCUUCCUCCGUGUCAUCCCCCACUUCGGCCUGUGGCUGAAAACAUUCAAGGUGGAGCCGAAGAUGAUCGGGGGGCGUCGAGCGGAGUGUGGCGGGGCGACCAUAAGUAAGAUGGUCGAUGCCCCGUGGCUCGAAGGUUCCUUCCAAGAGGAACAGGGAUUGUGGCAGCAGGAGUGGUUCUACAUCACCGCUCCAAGGGGCAGCAAGCAAAAGCCGCCGCCCUCCUUCCGCCCGGGACCUCCACAGCAACUGAUGUCGUGGGUCAACCAAGGGCUCAACUGGGGGCCGUCCAAGGACGUGCCCGCACUGCAGGGCCGGAUUCGGGACCUCCAAACAAGGGAGAUCGAUUUGGCCAAGGUGAUGCAGGUUAUGCUAACUAGGCACCUCCUACCCUGCAAACGUCGUCCUCUCCGUUUAUGGGAGUUCAAUCCGGAGGGACCUCGUAUCCUCCAGCAUUUCAUGGGGGCGACACCCUUGGAGAUGUACGAGCUGUUCUUCGGACCGCAAGUGGCGUGUCCGGAUUCGGCCGAGGAUGCGGGACUAAGCCGCGAUCGUCCGGAUACUCAGGUAAAUAUCUCAGAGCCCGGACAUCCUGCUUGUAUGCCUUUCAAAAGAUCAUCUCCUAACCCUUUUUAUUCUUUACAGGAAUGGGUGGCGCGAUCAAGGCUGAUAAGGUGUCCGGCCCCCCUCCCAGAGACCGCACUGGAGCCCGUGCUGGUCAGAAUGUUGGAGGCCGCACCCACAGAAGGGGGCGAUGGGGGAGAUAAAGGAGCUAAUACUUCGUCCAAGGAGGCGACUGAAGAGGAGAGGACCAAGGAUCCCUCCCCUCAGAGGGGAAAGAGGGCCGCCCCCAAAGAUCCGGAGGUCAAAGCCCCCAAGCGUGGGAAGAAAUCCUCACCGGGAGGUCCGGCGUCCGGAGAGAAUCCAGACGCACAGUCGUCGCCCAAGGACCAGCCCUCCAACGAGCCGUGAGUAUGAAAGAAGAAGUUAAAUAAGAAAGUACCUUCGUUUUAUGCUUCUGUAGGUAAUCGAAAUAUUUAUAUCGCAGUUCGGAUCUGCAGCCAUCUCAGAUGAGUUCGUCCUCGGGGGAUCUUCUUCCGGAGAUGAUGGAGAGCGAUACACCUCCGUCCGACGCGCCGCCAGAUGAAGCGGGCGGGCCCGAAGUGUCGUCACGGAGGGCGUCCCCGAGUCCGGAGGGGUUGAAGAGUUCAACACCCACCAGAGCCCGGUCGGGAGAAUUGAAGAGUUUGCUUGAGAGGGCGUCCAUUUCAGAAGAUCACCGUGCGUUAAUGUGUAUGGUGAUUGGAAGGAUUUCGUCCGCUGAAAGUGGAUUGCGUGAUUGCUGGCGGGUUUUGAGGUAUGCGAAAAUAGCGUACCCCUUUGCUUUUUAACAGUUGUGCAUAUAAAAGAUGCGCUCUGUAUAGAUAGUAGCCCCUGAGACUCGGUAGGUUGUCGAAGACGACAGCGUGCCGAGGAUCGAAAAUCUAGACACCUCAGGUAAUAAAUAACGCCGUCCUGAUACAGGUGGCGGAUAGUCCGGGGGCCAGCCGGACUGAUCAGUUUGCCGAACUGAGUCGGCAACUGGACAUGGCAGAUGCUGACAUGGCACUUGUCAAUAAGCGACUUGACGAGUCGCAAGGUAAAUAAAUUCUCCAUAGCUGUUUUAUUGAGUGGGUUAAAGCCCUCCUCUAAUAAGUUCUGUGUUGUUUAUACAGACAGUGCUGCUGCUGUGGAGAGACUUCGGGCCGAGCUUGCACAAGCCAAGGAGCAAGCCCGAAGAAGUAAUUCGGCUGCCGCGAGGGCGGCCGAGGAGUUGAAGGCCGAAAAGGCUGCGCACUGCCUAAGCAGGGCGGAAGUGGCCGAAUUGGCUAAAAAUUUAAAGGAUGCUACCGACCGUAGCGAGGCUCUUGAAAAGGAGCGCCUAUUGGAGCGGGAAGGACUGAAGAAGGCCACCGCCGAGACCAAUGAUGCCCGCUCUGCAAUGCGGGCUAUGAAGGAGGAGCUGCGCCAAGCCGGAGAAAUCACGGCUGGCAGGCCGUUUCUCAUGCGUCGCCGGUUUAUGGAUGCCCGGUAUGCCCAAUUUGAAAAGCAGUGGAGUUCGGAGGAUCCCUACAUGGACUUGGCUGCGAGUGCGGCUGACGCCGUUAAGCACUUCCGGAGCCAGGGGGAUCACGAGGUGGAAGAGUUAUAUUGGACUCAAUUCCACAGUCCGGAUCGUCCUCUUCCGCUGUCGGACAGGUUGGCCGAAUGGGCCGAACUGAAUAGACUGUCCGGGCUGGCUAUGACUGACAUCGUGGCCCAUGUGUGGCCAGAGAGGUCCAAGGCAACGAUCUAUUUUGGCCUACUGCAGCAGUUCCUUGGGGCGGUGCCGCAUAUCAAGGAGAUGAAGCGGUCGGCCUGCAUAGAGGGCGCGCGGAUGGCUCUGGCCCGUGUAAAGGCGCAGUGUCCGGAGAUGGAUGCCACCGCUAUUGCUGCCCAGGGUUCGGAUGGGAACCGGCUUCCUGCCGAACAUUAUUUCGGGGAAGUUAUGCGCGGCGCUCGUAUAAUAGAGUCGCAGUGCUCGAAGAAUGUAACGUUCAGUUGAACGCAUUAACUUGUUUAUGAAUGAUUAUAGUAUGAAUGCUUUUUAUACUUGUGCUUCCAAGUAAUAGUACUUCUCCUUGCGGCCGUUUUAAGUAUACUUGUGUAUAACCUGAAAGAUGCAGUCUUCGGCUUCAGCCCCCAUGCACAAGGUGCUGGGGUGUUCGCAAAAUAGCGCUUUUUCACACUUUAAUCCGACGUCUCAGUCCUGUUAUAAGGAGGUGGUAGCGUAGCGAACGAGGCAAUCCGGACUAUAAUGCUUUAUCUCUUUCACUUAGCCAAUGGAGCUCGAGGGUGGGGCUACGACAUAGCCCCUAUUGGCACCGCACAUCUCCGGUUUCGGGGUGCGUAUGUGCCUGACCGGGAAGCGGCCCUUCGUCAAAGCGGGGAAUUCUAAACAUUCCGUAGUCAAUCAAGUGGCUGACCAGACUCUCGCUAUAUCAUGACAGUCAGUUUUCGGCUUUCUCUACUGAGGUGCUCACCCAGCCGAACUGGGGCACAAUCGCAGUAGUUCUCCUGGUGCCGCGUUAGCCGGAUGAUACGGAACGUAAGGCAGCAAAACACAGGAGCCGGGCAAACCCAACAUUUGACCAAAGACAUGAUUCGGAGCUGAUGCAUAUAGUGCCCAACUUGAGACGCCGAACACUCCCUGAGGUGUUCGGACUUUAUGAUAACGGGUAGAAUUAUACCCUAAGCCCCUUGUGUCCAGGUAUGGGCGUUGUCUUCUGACGCGGCCAAUGCCAAAUCGUCAGGCUCCGCCUCGGCUAUAGGAAGAAGCCAAGGCUGAUAUAGCAACAAGAGACAGUAAUAAAAAGGUCCACGUAGGGUCUUAAUCUGAAAAGAAACCUUGCGACAGGUCCCUACUGCACGUCUGCGCCUGUGUCUCCGUUGUGCCGUUAUCCUGGACGGGUACGCACGUUGCUCAUCUGUAGAAAAGAGAGGAACAUUUCAAAAACAGUUCGUGCGAAAAUAAUGCAAAAGAAUAAGCGUAAAUAAUUAAGGGUAGGUUUAUAUGAAACCGAUAUUAAUUGUGCGCGCAGCCCCUUGUGAAAGGGUAUGCGGCUAGGGAGCCCCUAGCUUGCUGAGUCCGGAUUCGUCUAUCCGAGUCCGGGGGCUUUAAGUGACCCUCGCACUGAAAUAGUGCCGUGUGGACCGGGCAUCUUAAGUGUAAGAGAUGCGUAAUGCGGUAUGGCAUUGAAGCGGACAAAAGCCUUUCGUCCUAAUAGUGCUUGAUGUUCACUUUUAAAUGGGACGAUAUGGAAAAUUAACUUUUCUUGUCGGAAAUUGUUCGGUGAUCCGAACACGACUUCGAGUAAUAUCGAGCCUGUGCACUUGGCGUAAGGGCCGGGCGUAACUCCUUUGAAGGAAGUGCGGCUGUGUCGAAUUUUGGUAGGGUCUAUUCCCAUCCGACGGAUUGUAUUUGAAUAUAGCAGGUUUAAGUCACUGCCUCCAUCCAUUAGGACGUUUGUGAAUUGUAGUCCGUCUAUUAUCGGAUUCAAUAUCAGGGGAGUCCGUCCCGUGGUUCGAACACUUUUGGAAUAAUCCCGGUGGUCGAAAGUGAUUGGUUUUGAUAUCCAAUCUCUACGGUUUGUGGGGCCGGACCAUGCGAAGCUCUUUUUAGAAAGUGCCGCACUGUUUUUCCGUAUCCUCACAUGAAGUGAGUUUACUGCUUUGACCCCUUGUGGGAAAGUCUUUUGUUUUCCAGUGCCCUGCUGGCGGGGUUUAUCUUCUUUGCUUGACGCGUCGAGCCCCUUGCGUUCGGCGUUUAGUCGGCCGGACUGUUUGAAAACCCAACAAUCCCUGUGGGUGUGAUUUGCAGGCCUUCCGGGGGUACUGUGGAUUUGACAGAUCCGACCCAGGAUUUUGUGUAGGUUAGACAGUUCGUCGCUGUCGUCCUUGAUGGGUUGAGCUUUAUUAUUCGGCCGUGAGCUUUUAAAUCCGGCGUUGACUGUCGUGCUCUUUGGGCUUUUCUCUUUAUUCCGGCGCUGAUCUGUUCUGCGCCGUGAUUUUCCGUUUCCAUCUCUUAUCUCGGAUGUACUUGGGUCGCUGGUGCUGCUUCUUGCCAACCAGCUGUCCUCUCCUAUGCAAAAGCGGGUCAUGAGGCUUGUUGAUGCGGUCAUUGUCCUCGGUUUUUCUUGACCGAGGUGUCUGGCAAGCCAUUCGUCUCGGACAUUGUGCUUGAAAGCUGCUAAGGCUUCGGCGUCCAGACAGUCAACUAUUUGGUUCUUUUCGGUGAGGAACCUGUUCCAGAAUUUCCGCGCUGACUCUCCGGGCUGUUGAGUUAUGUGACUUAAGUCGUCUGCAUCCGGAGGCCGGACAUAAGUCCCUUGAAAGUUUGCUCUAAACGCUUCCUCGAGCUCUUCCCAACUUCCAACAGUGUUUUCUGGGAGGCUUUUGAGCCAAUGACGAGCUGGCCCUUUGAGUUUGAGGGGUAGAUAUUUUAUGGCGUGGAGAUCGUCUCCUCUGGCCAUAUGUAUAUGUAAUAUAUAGUCUUCUACCCAGACUCCAGGGUCUGUUGUUCCAUCAUAGGCUUCUAUGUUUACGGGUUUAAACCCUGCUGGGAAUUCAUGUUCCAGCACUUCGUCUGUGAAGCAUAGUGGGUGUGCGGCACCCCUGUACUUGUACGUGCCGCUGUCGUCGGACACUUGACGUGUUCCUUUGCUUAUUGGGGCUUUCCUUUUGGGUCCAUAGAUGGACCUGGCGGGGCCAUUGGACGGUGGGGGCUUUACGGCCUCUUCGUCGAAUUCUGGGAGCAGCUUGCGCUUUGGGUAGCUCUUCGGUUGGUGGCUGUUGCUUUGUUUGUCUGCGGUUUUGAGCACUUUGCUCCAUCUUAUCCGGAGCGCGUCUUCCGCUGUGUUGAGCUUCCGCUUUUCCUCCUUCAGGCUUCUUGCUGUAGCGAUGAGCCUGCGUUUGCGAAGAUUUUGUUCGACGGGCUCUUCGAGUUCGUCGUCAUCGGGGCUUGAUUCGUCCUCGGAGGGAGGUACAUAGUUGUGAUCCUCAAACUUUUCUUCUGCCGCCCUUUCGUGAGGGCGUACUUCUUCAUCCUCCUUCGCUGAUUCUUGCUAGAGGGGUUUGUCUUCGGCACUCUCCGGAGUGUUAUUAUCUCCCGUGCCAGAUUCUCCAUUCUUGCUGUGGCGGGAUUUAGAGCGGCGCCGUCGGCGCUUGGGUUGCUUCUUUAAAGAAUCUUUCUCCGCUGCUUUCUCGCCAUCCCCUUCUUUUGGGGUAUCCACCAUGUAAACGUCGUAUGACGAGGCGGCCUUCCAGUGUCCGGUGGGCGCUGGGUCCUGAUCGUCUCCGGCAUCGUCGUCCAUAGCAUCGAUGUCAUCGGAGUCGUAGUCUAGCAUGUCGGUUAGAUCCUCGACAGUGGCUACAAAGUGGGUGGUGGGUGGGCUCCGAAUUUCUUCGUCGUCCGAACUCCAACCGUCCUGGCCAUAGUCCGGCCAGGAUUCCCCUGAUAGCGAGAGAUGCUUCAGAGAAUUCAAGAUAUCGCCAAAAAGCGAGUGUUGAAAGAUGUCCGCGGCGGUGAAUUCCAUAACCGGCGCCCAAUCUGGUUUAAUUGGCAGGGGCGCGGGAGGCUCGGAGUCCGGCAAGGAGUCCGGUGCCUCGGGAUCACGAAUUUCGCGGGGGACAAGAUUGGCAUUUGGCUCCAUCGCCGUAGAUGUUGAAGCCCCCGAGGCGGCGUCUAUCCACCGACCCUCGUCAUGGGCGAUCGGCUCCGGGCAAGUAGCCGGGGCGGAUUCAAGUGCGGCCACCAAAGCACUGUGUGGCGGCAGAGCUGGAUCAUGCCCAUCGUCACAGUGCGGCGCGCUUGGCUGUGGCUCGAGUCCGUCGAAGAUCAAGUCUCCGCGGUUAUCGGCCGUGAAGUUUAGGCUUCCGAAUCUGACCUGACGGCCGGGGCGUAGCUUUCGAUCUGCUCCAGAUGGCCAAGAGAGUUGGCCCGCAGUGCAAAGCCGCCGAAUAUGAAGAUCUGUCCGGGGAGGAAAGUCUCGCCCUGGACAGCGUCAAAGAUUGACGAUGCCAUCAAGCCUAUUGGUGACAACACAGAGGAACUCUCAAUGAAAGCACCAAUGUCGGUGUCAAAACCGGCGGAUCUCGGGUAGGGGGUCCCGAACUGUGCGUCUAGGCGGAUGGUAACAGGAGACGAGGGACACAAUGUUUUUACCCAGGUUCAGGCCCUCUCGAUGGAGGUAAUACCCUACAUCCUGCUUGAUUAAUAUUGAUGAUAUGGGUAGUACAAGAGUAGAUGUACCACGAGAUCAAUGAGGCUAAACCCUAGAAGCUAGCCUAUGGUAUGAUUGUUGAGAUGUAAUGUUGUGUCCUACGGACUACGGCCCUCCGGUUUAUAUAGACACCGGAGAGGCUAGGGUUACACAGAGUCGGUUACAAUGGUAGGAGAUCUACAUAUCUGUAUUGCCAAGCUUGCCUUCCAUGCCAAGUAAAGUACCUUCCGGACACGAGCCGGAGUCUUCAAUCUUCUAUCUUCGUAGUCUGGGAGUCCGGCGGAUAUUGAUAGUCCGGCUGUCCGGACACCCCCUAGUCCAGGACUCCCUCAAUG